Molecule: ribosomal RNA, 253 nt
Filed under: uncultured bacterium
Lineage: Bacteria
Description: partial 16S ribosomal RNA
Rfam family: Bacterial small subunit ribosomal RNA
Source: RNAcentral
UACGUAGGCAGCAAGCGUUGUUCGGAAUUACUGGGCGUAAAGAGUGUGUAGGCGGUGUUCUAAGUUUGUCGUGAAAUCUCCCGGCUUAACCUGGGAAUUGCGUUGGAGACUGCAAGGCUGGAGUCUGGCAGAGGGGGGUAGAAUUCCACGUGUAGCAGUGAAAUGCGUAGAGAUGUGGAGGAACACCGAUGGCGAAGGCAGCCCCCUGGGUCAAGACUGACGCUCAUGCACGAAAGCGUGGGGAGCAAACAGG